GAACGUAAAUGGCGCUCCUCCGCGCCGCAGCCGCAGCCGCCCCGCUCCCUUCCCGCUCCGCCAGCUGCCGCCCUCCCGCGCUCGCUUCUCGCCCCGCGGCCUGGCCCGUGCGCCUCCGAGGCUGGCCAGGGGCACCGAGGCCGCGGGCCCCCCAUCGCCCCCACCCGAGCCCUGAUUUACCGUCCGAGAGCCGGCGGCACAUGGGACCCCGAGAGGAGAAGCGCGCCUGCCCCAGUGCGUCCCCAGGCGGGGGAGCCCCGACUCCUGGAGGGACCGCGUCCUGCCCGGCCCGGGAAGUUCAGGGCUGGAGAACCCCUUCCCCGACCCCAUUUCUCUUUUAACAAGAGUAGGGUUUGUAGCUAACCAACGUCCUGACAGCUCAGCUCUGCUUUCCCUUUAAGCAUUAAUAUCAAAGCCCUGCCUGCUACCGGUGAAGCCCCGACCCGGGAGGGCCCGAAAGUCCCUUCAGGGAGAGGCCGCACUGGGCCUGCUCACCCAGGGGCUGCCCCUGCAGACUCUCCCGAGGGGCCCAGGGAUAUUCCUCGCGCCGCGAGUGGACGCUUCCAUCCACCCCAUGGGGAGGGCCUCUGCGCGUGGCUACUCUGAGCCCUCUGGAAUGCCGAGAUAGUUGCAUAAUUUCAGAAACCACGGCAUGGAGACGGAAUGAUGCAGACUCCUAUCCGCGAGAUACCUGCUGUAAUUUCGCUGUGGUUCGUGAGGACGCGUCCUGGGCUGCCCUGAGAAGCCUACGUCUCCCCUUCGAGGCCCGGGAAGACCUCCAACCCCGCUGACAAUGCUGGGCCCUCAGCCAGACCUGCCCUGCGUGCCACGUUCUGUUCUAAGAUCGGGCUGCCGAGCUGUGGCCUGGAGGAAACCUGGCAGGUGUCACCAGAGCUUUGGGGAGGGUGAGGCCCUGUCGGGGAAGCCCAGUGGGAGUCAUGAAGGAGGGAACACGUGUGGAGCCCUUGUAGGGGGAGGGGCAGCCCUGCAGAGAUCUAAGAAAAAAUUCCAGAAAAAUGAGCAGCAACCUCCAAGGCCAGGCAUCGGUGCAGGGGACAAGGGGUCGUAGCUGGAGGGGCCUAGGUGAGGCUGCCGGGAAGGGACGAUGUGGUUGGUGGAGUGCACAGGCAGGGACCUCACUGGACUUUCCUGUCUGCUCAGCAUGGACAGGCAGCCCAGGAGAAGGCAGCACGUGGCCGGGUGCAGGGACGUACCACCCCCACUUCCCCAGGGGAGCUGGGGUCAGACGAGUCCCAGGCACUCCAUCCUCUGCAGCAAGUCAGGUUGUGAUUUACUAGGGGGUGGUGAAUAUAAUGGAGAGACUUCUGGGGAGGAAUUCCUGGCUCCCGCGUGGACUUGCAGAGCUCAACAGGCAGCCACGUGGCUGAGUGUCCAGCAAACAUCACAUAAGGCUUUGGGUCCUGCAGGUGGGGCUGCCAUGAGCAGCAAGCUCAGUCCAGAAGAACAGUUCCUCUCCAGGAUCCACUUCCUGCGCACUUUUAUGUGCAGUGUAGCUGGAGCAGAGCUCCCCGGAAUUCCACAGGCAACUGAGAACGGAGAGGGAUGCAGGCCAGCCAGGGAUCCAGCGUCUUCCCCAUCGUCACUCUCCAUGGCCUCCGUCUACACACAGUGUUCGUCUGCACAGCUUGUCAGCGCGUUAUCAUGACUUCUAUUUGGCACCGGCCCGUCUGUCCACUGUCCUGGCUUGUUCCAAGCGCUGCCUUCUCCAACUGGGGUCCUGGCUGCAGAGCUGUCUGCUCCCCACGUUGGGCAACUCCAGCCAAGAUUCCUACACCCAAAUGUGACCGUGUUGCUCACGAAGAAGGCUCAGCUUUGCGUGUGCCCAGCCGUGUGCACAGCUCGUCCCAACUCCUGCGGGUGGCACCUGCCUCUCCCACCUCCAGUCUUUCCCCUGUGAUGAGCAGAUGACCACCGCCCUCCAGGGUCAGCGUUUGGCUGUUUGUGUGCCUGCCCACCCGCCUCCCUGUGCCUGGGCCUGCCCUGUGCCUGCACACAGGAGUGGCUCAUGGCGUUUGCCCUACACGGAUGGGCUGUCCUGGGAGCUACUGGACAGUCACCUUGGUGGGAAUGCCAGAGGCAUGGGCAUUAGGUCCCCCCGGCCAGCCUCCGUUGCCACAUGGGCUAUUUUUGUCCAUCGCGUGGGACAACCUAGUAUUGGGGGAAAACUCAGUCCACUCUAAAGAAGCAUCGGCGUUUUGGAUGGACGAAUGCUGCUUCAUGCGACUCCAUGUCAAUGGACUAUUUUAUUCAACUCGGGUAUUUAUGAGUGUCUCCUCUGUGCCAGCCACGUGUGAAAGAAGAACUCCAAGUUACUGGACACCAGGACAAACCAGGUAGAUCACUGCAUCCGGUUCCUCCUCUUUCUGCCGACUCUCCCGGGCAACCGUUCUGAUUCCUGGCAUGGAGUUGGGGGCGAGCUCAUCAGUACCCAGAGCGCCUGGUGUGCAGCCAAAGGCCCCCAUUUUAUUAGUCGGUGUGUUCAGUAUCACGCUCAAGACAAGGGCCAACCUAUUACUUCACACACCUCAAAUACAAAAAGUGCCUGGGAACGUCGAUGAGGUAUUAAAGGAAACCACUGGUCUUGUCAGUCAUGUACACACAGAAAAAAAAACCAGUCAUUUUUAUUUUUAUUUUUUGAGACAGAGUUUCGCUCUUGUUGCCCAGGCUGGAGUGCAAUGGUGCAAUUUCAGCUCACUGCAAUCUCUGCCACCCGGAUUCAAGCAAUUCUCCUGUCUCAGCCUCCCGAGUAGCUGGAAUUGCAGACACCCAUCACCACGCCCAGCUAAUUUUAUGUAUUUUUAGUAGAGAUGGGGUUUCACCAUGUUGGUCAGGCUGGUCUUGAACUCCUGACCUCAGGUGAUCCACCCACGUCAGGCUCCCAAAGUGCUGAGAUUACAGGCAUGAACCACUGUGCCCAGCCGAAAACAACCAAGAAUUUUUUAACAAUAAAAUGACCAGCAAGUAAACUUGAAACAAAAAUGGACAAAUAUCUAAAAUAUUUUUAAAUGUAUGUAUUUUAAUUGGCAAAUAAUACUUGUAUAUAUUGUUUACAACUUGUUUUAAAGUAUGAAUACAUUGUGGAAUGGCUAAAUCAAGUUAAUUAACAUGCAUUAACUCACAUACUUUUUGUUUUUUGGUGUGGUGAGGACACUUAACAUCUACUCUCUUAGCAAUUUUCCAGUCACCAUGUCCUACUAUAGAUCCCUAGAACAUAUUCCUCCAAUGUAACUGAAAUGUAUCCCUUGACCAACAUCACUGCCCGGCCCCAGCCCCAGGUAAACACCAUUCUACCCUCUGCUUCUGUGAGUUCAGCUUUUCUAGAUUUCACCUGUGAGUGAGAUUGUGCAGCAUUUGUCUUUCUGUGCCUGGGUUUUUUCACAUAAUGCCCUUCUGGUUCAUCUAUAUUGUCAUAUAUGGUAGCAUUGUCUUCCUUUGUAAGGCUGACUGGUAUACCAUUGCGUAUAUACACCACAUUGUUUACCUAAAAUAUUUUUUAAUACAAUCGCUGAAAACUGC
Molecule: long non-coding RNA, 3537 nt
Filed under: Homo sapiens (human)
Lineage: Eukaryota; Metazoa; Chordata; Mammalia; Primates; Hominidae
Description: HSALNT0317801
Source: RNAcentral